AUACGGAGGGUGCAAGCGUUGUUCGGAAUCACUGGGCGUAAAGCGCGUGCAGGCGGCCCAUUAAGUCAGAUGUGAAAGCCCUCGGCUCAACCAAGGAACUGCAUCUGAAACUACUGGGCUUGAGUACGGGAGAGGAGAGUGGAAUUCCCGGUGUAGAGGUGAAAUUCGUAGAUAUCGGGAAGAACACCGGUGGCGAAGGCGGCUCUCUGGACCGAUACUGACGCUGAGACGCGAAAGCGUGGGGAGCAAACAGGAUUAGAAACCCUAGUAGUCC
RNAcentral lists this ribosomal RNA (274 nucleotides) under uncultured bacterium. RNAcentral describes it as "partial 16S ribosomal RNA". It matches the Rfam family "Bacterial small subunit ribosomal RNA", at positions 523 to 796 of the family's 1533-position model. The record is from RNAcentral.